Gossypium hirsutum (cotton) is the source of this 143-nucleotide non-coding RNA. The record is from Rfam. Lineage: Eukaryota; Viridiplantae; Streptophyta; Magnoliopsida; Malvales; Malvaceae.
UGUUAAAAAUUUCAUUUAUUUUUAUUGUUAAUAAAUGACAUGACUUAUAAAAUAAUCAGACAAUUACACUUGUUGUGUUACAUUUACUUUAUGUUGACAUAAAUGUAUUAGUUUUAACCGUAAAAAUGAUAAAAUUUUUAAUA